This 325-nucleotide long non-coding RNA is filed under the name Elaeis guineensis (African oil palm). Its description in RNAcentral is "long non-coding RNA (EGUI_LNC044400)". The record is from RNAcentral. Lineage: Eukaryota; Viridiplantae; Streptophyta; Magnoliopsida; Arecales; Arecaceae.
UGUCCCUAAAAUCAUCCUGUUAUCACAUCAAUGCCCCUCCAGUUAGAUUUUUGGCUAACUGUGUAUAACUUUAUUACCCCGAAAAAAUAUAUGCGAAAAAAUAGCUCUUCAUAGUACAAAUUGAAUAUUGAAUUUUACAGAUGUAUGGUGCAAAACUGCAAUAGUGUCAUUUCACUCUUCAAAUGGUUAUCAACACCAUCAGUCAGAAAUCUAAUAGAAGGGGCAACAUUGCAAAACUAGGAUGACUUGAGGGCUAUACAUGUAAGUAAUGAUUUUGGAGGAUAAAUAUAUAAUUAGAAUGCAAAAUGCCAAACAAGAAAAGAAG